RNAcentral lists this ribosomal RNA (282 nucleotides) under uncultured soil bacterium. Its description in RNAcentral is "partial 16S ribosomal RNA". It matches the Rfam family "Bacterial small subunit ribosomal RNA", at positions 26 to 304 of the family's 1533-position model. The record is from RNAcentral.
AGAGUGAACGCUGGCGGUAGGCCUAACACAUGCAAGUCGAACGGCAGCACAGUGGUAGCAAUACCAUGGGUGGCGAGUGGCGGACGGGUGAGGAAUACAUCGGAAUCUACCUUUUCGUGGGGGAUAACGUAGGGAAACUUACGCUAAUACCGCAUACGCCCUUCGGGGGAAAGCCGGGGAUCGCAAGACCUGGCGCGGAUAGAUGAGCCGAUGUCGGAUUAGCUAGUUGGUGAGGUAAUGGCUCACCAAGGCGACGAUCCGUAGCUGGUCUGAGAGGAUGAU